GUGUCAGCAGCCGCGGUAAUACGGAGGGUGCAAGCGUUAAUCGGAAUUACUGGGCGUAAAGGGCGCGUAGGCGGCGUGUCACGCCGGGUGUGAAAGCCCCGGGCUCAACCUGGGAAUGGCAUCCGGAACGGGCAGGCUAGAGUGCAGGAGAGGAAGGUAGAAUUCCCGGUGUAGCGGUGAAAUGCGUAGAGAUCGGGAGGAAUACCAGUGGCGAAGGCGGCCUUCUGGACUGACACUGACGCUGAGGUGCGAAAGCGUGGGUAGCAAACAGGAUUAGAAACCCCCGUAGUCC
This 292-nucleotide ribosomal RNA is filed under the name uncultured prokaryote. RNAcentral's name for it is "partial 16S ribosomal RNA". It matches the Rfam family "Bacterial small subunit ribosomal RNA", at positions 505 to 796 of the family's 1533-position model. The record is from RNAcentral.